Molecule: ribosomal RNA, 763 nt
Filed under: uncultured Streptococcus sp.
Lineage: Bacteria; Bacillati; Bacillota; Bacilli; Lactobacillales; Streptococcaceae
Description: bacterial SSU rRNA
Rfam family: Bacterial small subunit ribosomal RNA
Source: RNAcentral
GACGAACGCUGGCGGCGUGCCUAAUACAUGCAAGUAGAACGCUGAAGGAGGAGCUUGCUUCUCCGGAUGAGUUGCGAACGGGUGAGUAACGCGUAGGUAACCUGCCUGGUAGCGGGGGAUAACUAUUGGAAACGAUAGCUAAUACCGCAUAAUAGUAGAUGUUGCAUGACAUUUACUUAAAAGGUGCAAUUGCAUCACUACCAGAUGGACCUGCGUUGUAUUAGCUAGUUGGUGGGGUAACGGCUCACCAAGGCGACGAUACAUAGCCGACCUGAGAGGGUGAUCGGCCACACUGGGACUGAGACACGGCCCAGACUCCUACGGGAGGCAGCAGUAGGGAAUCUUCGGCAAUGGACGGAAGUCUGACCGAGCAACGCCGCGUGAGUGAAGAAGGUUUUCGGAUCGUAAAGCUCUGUUGUAAGAGAAGAACGAGUGUGAGAGUGGAAAGUUCACACUGUGACGGUAUCUUACCAGAAAGGGACGGCUAACUACGUGCCAGCAGCCGCGGUAAUACGUAGGUCCCGAGCGUUGUCCGGAUUUAUUGGGCGUAAAGCGAGCGCAGGCGGUUAGAUAAGUCUGAAGUUAAAGGCUGUGGCUUAACCAUAGUACGCUUUGGAAACUGUUUAACUUGAGUGCAAGAGGGGAGAGUGGAAUUCCAUGUGUAGCGGUGAAAUGCGUAGAUAUAUGGAGGAACACCGGUGGCGAAAGCGGCUCUCUGGCUUGUAACUGACGCUGAGGCUCGAAAGCGUGGGGAGCAAACAGG